RNAcentral lists this ribosomal RNA (468 nucleotides) under uncultured bacterium. RNAcentral's name for it is "partial 16S ribosomal RNA". It matches the Rfam family "Bacterial small subunit ribosomal RNA", at positions 28 to 507 of the family's 1533-position model. The record is from RNAcentral.
GACGAACGCUGGCGGCGUGCUUAACACAUGCCAGUCGAACGGAACGGCCCUGCCUUUGUGGGGUGCUCUAGUUGCGAACGGGUGAGUAACACGUGAGUAACCUGCCCUUGACUUUGGGAUAACUUCAGGAAACUGGGUCUAAUACCGGAUAGGAGCUCCUGCUGCAUGGUGGGGGUUGGAUAGUUUCGGCGGUUGGUGAUGGACUCGCGGCUUAUCAGCUUGUUGGUGGGGUAGUGGAUUACCAAGGCUUUGACGGGUAGCCGGCCUGAGAGGGUGACCGGCCACAUUGCGACUGAAAUGCGACACAGCCUACUACGGGAGGCAGCAGAGGGGAAUAGAGCACAAGGGGCGGAAGCAUGAUGCAGCAAAGCAGCGUCGGGGAUGACGGCAAGCCGGUAGUAAACCGCAUCCGCCUGUGCCGAAGCGAGAGUGACGGUAAUGGGUAAAGAAGCACCGGCUAACUACGUG